UACAGAGGGGGCAAGCGUUGUUCGGAUUCACUGGGCGUAAAGGGUGCGUAGGUGGUGAGGUAAGUCGGAUGUGAAAUCUCCGAGCUCAACUCGGAAAUGGCAUUGGAAACUACCUUGCUCGAGGGUUGGAGGGGGGACUGGAAUGCUUGGUGUAGCAGUGAAAUGCGUAGAUAUCAAGCGGAACACCAGUGGCGAAGGCGAGUCCCUGGACAACUCCUGACACUGAGGCACGAAAGCUAGGGGAGCAAACAGG
RNAcentral lists this ribosomal RNA (253 nucleotides) under uncultured bacterium. RNAcentral's name for it is "partial 16S ribosomal RNA". It matches the Rfam family "Bacterial small subunit ribosomal RNA", at positions 524 to 776 of the family's 1533-position model. The record is from RNAcentral.